This 487-nucleotide ribosomal RNA is filed under the name uncultured bacterium. RNAcentral describes it as "bacterial SSU rRNA". It matches the Rfam family "Bacterial small subunit ribosomal RNA", at positions 26 to 507 of the family's 1533-position model. The record is from RNAcentral.
AAGAACGAACGCUGGCGGCGCGCCUAAUACAUGCAAGUCGAGCGAGAAGGUGUAGCACUACACUUGUAAAGCGGCGAACGGGUGAGGAAUGCAUGGGUAACCUACCCUCGAGUGGGGAAUAACUAGCCGAAAGGUUAGCUAAUACCGCAUACGUUCCGGAACUUCGGUUUCGGAAAGAAAGCAAUACCGUGGGUAUUGCGCUCCUGGAUGGGCUCAUGUCCUAUCAGCUUGUUGGUGAGGUAACGGCUCACCAAGGCUUCGACGGGUAGCUGGUCUGAGAGGACGAUCAGCCACACUGGCACUGCGACACGGGCCAGACUCCUACGGGAGGCAGCAGUAAGGAAUAUUGCGCAAUGGACGAAAGUCUGACGCAGCGACGCCGCGUGGGGGAUGAAGGUCUUCGGAUUGUAAACCCCUUUCGGGAGGGAAGAUGGAGUGGGUAACCACUUGGACGGUACCUCCAGAAGCAGCCACGGCUAACUUCGUG